Molecule: ribosomal RNA, 253 nt
Filed under: uncultured bacterium
Lineage: Bacteria
Description: partial 16S ribosomal RNA
Rfam family: Bacterial small subunit ribosomal RNA
Source: RNAcentral
UACGUAGGUGACAAGCGUUGUCCGGAUUUACUGGGCGUAAAGAGCGCGCAGGCGGUCGAUCAAGUCGAGUGUGAAAGCCCCCGGCUCAACUGGGGAGGGUCAUUCGAUACUGAUCGACUCGAAGGCAGGAGAGGGUAGUGGAAUUCCCGGUGUAGUGGUGAAAUGCGUAGAUAUCGGGAGGAACACCAGUGGCGAAGGCGCCUACCUGGCCUGUUCUUGACGCUGAGGCGCGAAAGCUAGGGGAGCAAACGGG